Capsicum annuum is the source of this 1434-nucleotide RNA transcript. It is a transcript of the gene named purple acid phosphatase 15, with no coding region annotated. Lineage: Eukaryota; Viridiplantae; Streptophyta; Magnoliopsida; Solanales; Solanaceae. The transcript has 5 exons. The record is from RefSeq and is a predicted model, not a curated record.
AUUAUUGAGGGUAAAAUAGUUAAUAUGUAUGACAGAUAUUUAGCUAUCCACUUUCUCCAAAACAUUCUAGAAACAAUUUCUAACCAGAACAAUGAACGGCUGCUUUCAUCAUCAUUCUCGGCGGAAACACAACAACAAUAAAAAAUAAUAGUACAGUGAAGAGAUCCAUUUCUGACAAAGUUACGGAAGGCUGUCAUGUGACCUUUGUAUUCAGAUCUAGUGAGUCAUCCAGAUCUUUUGAGUUUGCAGUUAUUCUUAUCACGCUCUUUUUAUUCUUCGAUCUACUGGUCAUCAAGAUUUAUUGUUGGUGGUUGUGUCAGAGUUCUCAAUACAGUGAUGUCAUAUUCUAUGACGACACUAGACGAUGGAAAUAUUACAUCUGGUCAGUGUUUCUUUCAAUCUUUUAGUGAAUGUGAACUUUUGUGUUUAUGCCAAGAGUGUUAAUACUCUAUUUCCACAAACAAAUGUUACUGAACUUCCUAUAAUUUCUUCAAAAGAUGAUGGGGAACCAUGAGAUAGAAGAACAAGCUGGAAAUUAGAUAUUUGCAGAAUAUGUUCUCGCUUUGCUUCACAUCAAAAGAAAGUAGAUCAUCAACACUGUUUUACUAUUCUUUUACUGCAGGAGGCAUACACUUCAUCAUGCUCGAGGGAUAUGUCGCCUAUUAUAAAUCAAGUAAACUAAAGCUCAAGCUAUCUUCAAUUUUAUGAUCAAUACAAGUGGUUGGAGAAGAACCUGGCUAAGGUUGAUAGGAUAGUAACUCCAUGGCUGGUUGCCACUUGGCAUCCUCCGUGGUACUCUACUUACACGGCACAUUAUCGAGAAGCUAAAUGCAUGAAGGUAGCGAUGGAAGAGUUGUUGUACGAGUAUGGUGUCAUAUUAGUCUUCAAUUGUCACGUGAUGGUGGAAACCGUGAGAAGAUGGCCAUAGAACAUGCUGAUGAGCCUGGCAAAUGUCCUAAACUAUCUAAUGCAUCAGACAAAUUUAUGGGCAGAUUCUGUGCCUCUAAUUUUACAUCAGGUCCAGCAGCCGGCAAUUUCUGCUGGGAUCAACAACCUGAAUAUAGUGCAUAUAGAGAAAGUAGCUUCAGACAUGGAAUAUUCGAGUUGAUGUAUACAAAGAUGGGAGAUUGAAAUGUUUGAGCGAAGUCCAUAUUCAUUGUUUGAAGAUUUUAAACCUUUUUCAGUCGGGUUAAACUAUCAUCAUCACAAUUCACAAGUAGCUAUGUGAUCUCUUUUAAAGGAAGCUUUUGCAGAUUUUGAAGAACUGAUAUUAUUUUUGUGGUAGCUUUAUCAUUAUUGACUGUAAUGGUUCAGAUUCGAAUUAUCUUGUGGCCCUAGUGUUAUCUUGUGGCUAGUAUUGUUAGUUUAUUUUGCAUACUGUAUAAGCUUAUAUGAAUUUUUGUUUUGUGUUUGUUAUAUUAUUAUUGGUUCUAA